GCUGAACUUAAGCAUAUCAAUAAGCGGAGGAAAAGAAACCAACAGGGAUUGCCCUAGUAACGGCGAGUGAAGCGGCAACAGCUCAAAUUUGAAAUCUGGCCUCACGGUCCGAGUUGUAAUUUGUAGAGGAUGCUUCUGGCGACGUGCCUUCCGAGUUCCCUGGAACGGGACGCCAUAGAGGGUGAGAGCCCCGUCCGGUCGUGCACCUAGCCUCUGUGAAGCUCCUUCGACGAGUCGAGUAGUUUGGGAAUGCUGCUCUAAAUGGGAGGUAUACGUCUUCUAAAGCUAAAUACCGGCCAGAGACCGAUAGCGCACAAGUAGAGUGAUCGAAAGAUGAAAAGCACUUUGAAAAGAGGGUUAAAUAGUACGUGAAAUUGCUGAAAGGGAAGCGCUUAUGACCAGACUUGGGCUCGGUGAAUCAUCCGGCGUUCUCGCCGGUGCACUUUGCCGUCCCAGGCCAGCAUCAGUUCGCGCCGGGGGAUAAAGGUUUCGGGAAUGUAGCUCCCUCGGGAGUGUUAUAGCCCGUUGCGCAAUACCCUGGCGUGGACUGAGGUCCGCGCUCUGCAAGGAUGCUGGCGUAAUGGUCAUCAGUGACCCGUCUUGAAACACGGACCAAGGAGUCGUCUUCGUAUGCGAGUGUUCGGGUGUCAAACCCCUACGCGUAAUGAAAGUGAACGUAGGAGAGAGCUUCGGCGCAUCUCCGACCGAUCCUGAUGUUCUCGGAUGGAUUUGAGUAAGAGCAUACGGGGCCGGACCCGAAAGAAGGUGAACUAUGCCUGUAUAGGGUGAAGCCAGAGGAAACUCUGGUGGAGGCUCGCAGCGGUUCUGACGUGCAAAUCGAUCGUCAAAUAUGGGCAUGGGGGCGAAAGACUAAUCGAACCUUCUAGUAGCUGGUUUCCGCCGA
This 904-nucleotide ribosomal RNA is filed under the name Acremonium sordidulum. RNAcentral's name for it is "partial large subunit ribosomal RNA". It matches the Rfam family "Eukaryotic large subunit ribosomal RNA", at positions 27 to 964 of the family's 3401-position model. The record is from RNAcentral. Lineage: Eukaryota; Fungi; Ascomycota; Sordariomycetes; Hypocreales; Bionectriaceae.